UGGAAGACUAGUGAUUUUGUUGUUCUGAUGUUGGAUGACAACAAGUCACAGCCGGCCACA
Molecule: microRNA precursor, 60 nt
Filed under: Cavia porcellus (domestic guinea pig)
Lineage: Eukaryota; Metazoa; Chordata; Mammalia; Rodentia; Caviidae
Description: microRNA cpo-mir-7 precursor (cpo-mir-7-3)
Gene: cpo-mir-7-3
Source: miRBase by way of RNAcentral